AAAUCGAUUAUCAUAAUUGUACAAAUACAUUCUUUAAAAGAUGUAAAACCAAAGGUAAAUCAAAGGGUUGUCACUGGUAACCAGUGGUCUAUGUUUAAAAGGGGGCAGAAAAGAUAGAGGGAAAGGGCAGUGAAAUAGUCUUCCAAGGCAGAAUAUUGGAGACUAACAGUUUAGGACAGUCAAACUGUAUUUGGACAAGUCAUUAAAGAAAUUUCUGAAAGAGGUGAGCCUGCAGGGGCAAGGGGCUAGACCAGAUGGCCUUACAGAUUUCUUCCAUCUUUAACUGUUAUUAAUCUGCAACUCUACCCUACUGUUAACUCCUCAGGAAGAUGCAAUACUUCCUCAAGGACUGGAAUUCACUCUGGUGCAUAGAGUAUCACAAGACUUACUUAUUUUUCAAGUAUCAUGUAUGCCAUAUGUAAGCCCUGAAAAAGAGGGGAUAUGUGACACACUGAAUUUGGGCAAGGGAGCUAGACAAGGGCACAUUUUACCAUGUAUCUUUGAAUACGUACAUGAAAUUCAUGCAAACAAGGCUGAAAAUUUGCACCAAUAUUUGAGAUUUGCAUCCCAGUGAUGCUCCACUUUGAUCGUUCUUUCUCCUGCAUUUGUAAACAGAAAAAAAAAGCUACUGAGGAACUUGAAGGGCCAAAGAGCCUUUGAAGUUAACUACAUUAGUUCAUGAGAGAAUUUCUCAGUAAGACUAAACACAGUAUUGUGUGUAUAAAGCACUAAUAUCCAGGGUUAUUUUGACAUAGUUCACAAAGGGUGAGGGAGAAAAGAAUGAAUGCACUGUGUCAUUACAGGUUCAGUUGUAAGGAUUAUAUACUUUGUGAGUAGUUUUGCCCACAGUUGAGAGACAUUAGACUUGUUCAUAGGUUUACAAUGGUACCAAAGUAUUCUUUUUUUUCCUUUUGAGGUUUGCAUAUAGUUCAGUGCACACAGCCUGGAGUAAGUUAUUCAGAUCUUCUGAAAGAAUAAUCCGAGCAGAACUGUUAACAGGAGAUUGCAUGCAGCAAAUCCAGCCUCAUUUCCAUCAAAGGCACUGAACCUGCAGCUAUUUUCUCAUGAAUGUGUCUGUUUCCAUAGCUCCUGUUGCAGGACUGGGGACCUAUUUAUUAAAGCUAAUUUUGGAGCAGAAUCCAGCCCAUGUUAAAGUAUAGUUCUUCAAGCAGUUUACAGUUUAGCAGUAAGGUGGUUCUGCCCAGAUAGUCUCAGUUUUUACAGACACUGCAAGCCAAAUCUUCAGCUGGUGUAAAUUGGUGUGGCUCCAUCAAAGCUCAUUUAAGUGAUGCUGAUUUGCUGUAGGUGGGGAUCAGCCAUGAAAAUCCAGCACAAGUUACCGCAUCUUGUAAAGUAGCUUCUUUAUUUUUGUCAUGUUUAUUUCAUGUUUCAGAAGUCUUAAAUCUUUUCGACAUGUUUUUAUUUUUAGCUGUGGACUGUAUUACUUAUUUAAAAAGCAGCAAUAGUUUUUGUUUAGUUUAUGCAUCAGUUUUCAUUGCAUAUUGCAUUUUAUUAGCCAUUUGUUCCCUGUUCAUACACUCCCAUUUAGCUUCCAGGUUUUCAUUGUAGUACAAUCUGCCUUGAAAAGUUGGACCUCUGUAUCUUUAAUUGUAUAAUAUAUUGAGUAUUAUGAAAUUAAAUGUACCUUAUUACAUGGGUGGGAGAGAGAGGAAAUAUUUUUACUUGAAGCCUUAAUAUUUUCUUUUUUUACUACUUUGUUUGUUGACCUCAUAGGAAAGUCUGAAUAGUAAAGACUUUGAAACUCUGGGCCAAAUACUGCACUGAUAUACAACCAGCAUUUGGCCUCCUAUGUCAAAACUGGAUGCAGACAUAACCUGAAGUGAACAAGGGAAAAAGCCUCAGGGUGGUGUAUUUUCCUGAAGAUCAUUAAUACAGUCUCAAAAUGUGUCUGUAAGCAAGUACAUCACAGAAGUCUUCAAGUCUUGAACUUUUAAGAAAGGCGAUAGCAGGAACUGCCCUAAUAUCUUACAUUUGCAUUUUCUUUUUAAAUUAAGCAAAACAAGUGUAAUUACUUAGUUUGGUUAAAAUCAGCUCUAAGGGUUGCACAGAGCUAUGUGUGAGUAGCCAUGUGCAGCAGAUGGACUGUGUUGUGUCGCUGUUCUAAAAUUGCUAACCAAGCAUAAUGUUAUGUCAACUCGGCCUAAGAUAAUCACCUCAUGGGUGUUAUAAUGGACGUUCCUCAGAUGAUGCCUAUUCUCCUAUAAGCCUAAUGUGGAAAUUGCAAUGUGGUUUUCUUUGGACUAGAUGUGUGGUCCAGACUAGAGAUAUAGAGAGAUAUAUAUAUUCAAUAUUUUUUUGUGUGUGGGAAAGAUGGGGUCAAGCUUGCUGUCUCUGACAGUCUGGAAGGUUAAUGUUGAACCGUUUUUAUGGUCUGUAUUUCACCUGUUCUGCCUCCUUGAAUUGUUGGAAUGUAUCCGUGCAGGCUUUGUGGAGCUCUGUCUGUAACCUUUUUUGUGGCUCUCGUAAUACAUAUAUAUUUUU
Molecule: long non-coding RNA, 2502 nt
Organism: Strigops habroptila (Kakapo)
Lineage: Eukaryota; Metazoa; Chordata; Aves; Psittaciformes; Psittacidae
Source: Ensembl